AGGGGUGAAAGGCCAAUCAAACUCCGUGAUAGCUGGUUCUCCCCGAAAUAGCUUGAGGGCUAGCGUCAGGGGAUGAGUUGUGGAGGUAGAGCGCUGAUGGGGUGCGGGGCCCGCGAGGGCUACCAAGCUUCGUCAAACUGCGAAUGCCACAAUGUCGAGGAACCUGGCAGUGAGACUGCGAGCGAUAAGGUCCGUAGUCGAGAGGGAAACAGCCCAGAUCGCCGGCUAAGGCCCCUAAGCGUUUACUAAGUGGA
Molecule: ribosomal RNA, 254 nt
Filed under: Striatella unipunctata
Lineage: Eukaryota; Bacillariophyta; Striatellaphyceae; Striatellales; Striatellaceae
Description: partial Bacterial large subunit ribosomal RNA
Rfam family: Bacterial large subunit ribosomal RNA
Source: RNAcentral